This 497-nucleotide ribosomal RNA is filed under the name uncultured bacterium. RNAcentral's name for it is "partial 16S ribosomal RNA". It matches the Rfam family "Bacterial small subunit ribosomal RNA", at positions 28 to 507 of the family's 1533-position model. The record is from RNAcentral.
GACGAACGCUGGCGGCGUGCCUAAUACAUGCAAGUCGAGCGAUGAAGCUUGGUGCUUGCACCAAUUUGAAGAGCAGCGAACGGGUGAGUAACGCGUGGGUAAUCUGCCUUUGAGCGGGGGACAACAUUUGGAAACGAAUGCUAAUACCGCAUAACAACUUUAAACAUAAGUUUUAAGUUUGAAAGAUGCAAUUGCAUCACUCAAAGAUGAUCCCGCGUUGUAUUAGCUAGUUGGUGAGGUAAAGGCCCACCAAGGCGAUGAUACAUAGCCGACCUGAGGAGGGUGAUCGCCAAAAUUGGAAUGGGGACACGGCCAAGAUCCUUAGGGGAGGCAGAAGUGGGGAAUUUUGGCAAUGGGCGGAAAUCUUGCCGAAGAAAGGCGGGGGGGGGGAGGAAGGUUUCGGGACGGUAAACUCCGUUGAUUGGGGAGGAAGGUGGGGAGAGUGAAAAGCUCAUGUAUUGACGGUAACUACACAGAAAGGGACGGCUAACUACGUG